RNA transcript from Rhopilema esculentum, 2025 nucleotides. RefSeq lists it as uncharacterized. The record is from RefSeq and is a predicted model, not a curated record. Lineage: Eukaryota; Metazoa; Cnidaria; Scyphozoa; Rhizostomeae; Rhizostomatidae.
UCGUCACUGCAUCUGCACAAAGUUGCUGUAAUUUUUUAAAAUAUUAUUCUCCUAAAAUUUUGAAGUAUUCAUCUUUUCAAAUCUAAUUUUUUUCAAAAUGAUGACGUGAAAAGAAGAAUAAGAUCUUGUUCAUUCAAACUGGACCAACGCAGUGAUUUUAUUUUCAUGGAAACUUGCUUAGUACAGCUCUCUGGAUAACACAAUGGCAAGGGAGAAAUGUCUGGUUAUUUUUGUUUUCAUAGUAAUAUCACAAUUAGUAUUAUCGACACCGCUGACCGUUGUGUCAGACAAAUCUGGUGAACAGCAAGUGAAAGAAGCGUUGCGAAAAGCCGAACAGGAGGCCGAGAAGGCAGCCAAGGAGGGCAAAACGACAGAGAAACCAAAGGAUCAAGGGACUAAGGAAUCAAAUAUCCAAGGUCAUAAAAAUGAGAUGCUCGAAGGAAUUAAUAACGAUAGAGACGAGCAAGCAAAUAAACGCAUGAAGGCUAUGGCAGCCAAACUGAACAAUUUAGUGAUGAAAUUCCAGAGAAAAGUGAUGGCAAAUAAAUUGCACCGUGCCCUUGAACGAAGAGUUGCCUUAGCAAACGUGGGCAAAAAGAGAGGUCAAGCAUCUAAAUCUUCAAGUGUAUCGCAAAAAAAUUCUGCCUUGGAUCUCAGUGGACUGGCAGAUCCUUUGUCAUCACCCAACAACCCCAUGGCAACAGCGUACAAAGAGGAUACAAGACUAGAAGAUCGCUUAGCACUUGAGGCAGAAGAAGAAAAGAAAGUUAAAGAUGGAGAAACAUAUGAUGAAGAUGCUGGAUAUGGUGACUCAAUGAAGAACUACGCUGGAACGACCAGUCUAUCCCCCAAGGAGCAGGCAUCACAAGAAAUGCAGCAAUACAGUGCCCUGAUAUCGUCAGAGAGUAGCAGAGAACUAUCUCAAAUCCAAGACGAAAUCUCAAAAGCGACACAAAGCAGCAUGGGGAAAGUUUCUGUACAGGGAGAGAACUUGAAUGCACCCUUAGAAUCCACAUCACCUGCAAAAGGCCUCGAUUUAGGAGGGCUAGGAAGUCUGGGUGGUUCAAGUUUUGCUGGGUUUGGAAACAAUCUUGGAGGGCUUGGAUCUUUGGAUAGUGGAGCAGCGCUAGGUUCACAAUCACUCAGUCCACAGUCUCUCACAGGAGAUUCUGGCUUACCAGGUUUAAACCUUGGCGGACAAUCUGAUGCAGCAAGUGUCUUGGGUGGAUCGUCGCAAGACCAAAGUCUCGCAGGUGCAAUCGACAUAAAUCCAAUGUCUGGAUCUCAAAAUGCAGAACAACUGCCUGGUUUGUUAGGCGGAGGAGCAGGGCUUCAGGGUGCAAGUCAAGAUGCGGGACAGAGUCUUGGAGGAAUGCCUGUGCAAGGAACGUUUAGCAAAAAGUAAACCAACAUUGUUUGAAGGUGAUGGCUGAAUUCCACUUGACUCGAAAAUCACAAAACAAAAAGCGAAGGCAUCCAAGUCAAAGAGACGCAACACACAUAAAGCAAGAAAGGGAAGAAAGAAUUGAGCAAGAUUUAUUCCCAGAAAGCAGAAAACAAGGCAGUGAACUAAACACUAUAAACUUCUUUGUAUGCAGCCCUAUACUUCUUAGAAGCCGCAUUUUGUAACAUUUUCAAGUAAGAACUAACGAUUUGUAGAUUAACAACUACAUUGAAUUAAACACAGGGUCUAGACCAUGUAAACACUGCUUCGAUGAAGAAUCCUGGUCUGGGCUAAUUAAAACUAGAACCAAAUUAUUAUCGAUUCUUGCUUUACAUUCAAUUUUUUCUAUCAAUGUUUCUGGGGAUUGGCAAACUGUGUUCUGAAGAAAACUGUUGUUUUUUAAUAGAUCCGUUCACGAAUACAGAGAAAUAGAGGUUAUGAACCAAAAUUCAUAAUUUGCUUGCACUGCAGUGUUUAGAAAAUGUAUUAAUAAAGCUAUUAUUACUCGAGAAUAUAAAUAUUGGACAUAAUUUGUACCUUAAACCCGAGAUGCAAUAUUCUAUUUAACUACAAACUAUAAA